This 301-nucleotide ribosomal RNA is filed under the name uncultured bacterium. Its description in RNAcentral is "partial 16S ribosomal RNA". It matches the Rfam family "Bacterial small subunit ribosomal RNA", at positions 509 to 809 of the family's 1533-position model. The record is from RNAcentral.
CAGUAGCCGCGGUAAAACGAAGGGGGCUAGCGUUGCUCGGAAUCACUGGGCGUAAAGGGUGCGUAGGCGGGUCUUUAAGUCAGGGGUGAAAUCCUGGAGCUCAACUCCAGAACUGCCUUUGAUACUGAAGAUCUUGAGUUCGGGAGAGGUGAGUGGAACUGCGAGUGAAGAGGUGAAAUUCGCAGAUAUUCGCAAGAACACCAGUGGCGAAGGCGGCUCACUGGCCCGAUACUGUCGCUGAGGCACGAAAGCGUGGGGAGCAAACAGGAUUAGAUACCCGGGUAGUCCCUGUCUCUUAUAA